Molecule: ribosomal RNA, 254 nt
Filed under: uncultured bacterium
Lineage: Bacteria
Description: partial 16S ribosomal RNA
Rfam family: Bacterial small subunit ribosomal RNA
Source: RNAcentral
UACGUAGGGUGCGAGCGUUAAUCGGAAUUACUGGGCGUAAAGCGUGCGCAGGCGGUUUUAUAAGCCAGAUGUGAAAGCCCCGGGCUCAACCUGGGAAUGGCAUUUGGGACUGUAAGGCUGGAGUAUGGCAGAGGGGACUAGAAUUCCUGGUGUAGCAGUGAAAUGCGUAGAUAUCAGGAGGAAUACCGAUGGCGAAGGCAGGUCCCUGGGCCAACACUGACGCUGAGUGAGCGAAAGCGUGGGGAGCGAACAGG